GCGGCUGUAGCUCAGUAGGAUAGAGCAAGUGACUUCUAAUCACUAGGUCGCAGGUUCGAUUCCUGCCAGCCGCGCCA
RNAcentral lists this transfer RNA (77 nucleotides) under Nitrospirae bacterium RIFCSPHIGHO2_02_FULL_42_12. RNAcentral describes it as "tRNA-Arg". It matches the Rfam family "tRNA". From Rfam's summary of the family: Transfer RNA (tRNA) molecules are approximately 80 nucleotides in length. Their secondary structure includes four short double-helical elements and three loops (D, anti-codon, and T loops). Further hydrogen bonds mediate the characteristic L-shaped molecular structure. tRNAs have two regions of fundamental functional importance: the anti-codon, which is responsible for specific mRNA codon recognition, and the 3' end, to which the tRNAs corresponding amino acid is attached (by aminoacyl-tRNA synthetases). tRNAs cope with the degeneracy of the genetic code in two manners: having more than one tRNA (with a specific anti-codon) for a particular amino acid; and 'wobble' base-pairing, i.e. permitting non-standard base-pairing at the 3rd anti-codon position. RNAcentral also lists the same sequence under 1 other name. Lineage: Bacteria; Pseudomonadati; Nitrospirota. The record is from RNAcentral.